AUUGUGUUCUGUUCGUUAUAUUCUUAGAGCUGAAGAUGGUGUGAAUACUGAAAGCUUCUAAACUUAAUAAAGAAAGGUGUUUUAUGUAAUCUCUUUGGUCUGCUCGUGAGUGUUGAAUAUAUAAUACACUUUUAGAUAAUCGAUACUGAUGAGGCCAUAAUGGAUGUAGUUAAGAACCUAGUUCAAGCAGUAACCAAAAUCUUUGUGGACAGAAUUUUCUGCCUACCUGAACAGUGGGAUGCUUGCCUAAAUGCCAUGGGUGACUUCUUGGGUGACAUUGUAUGCAGUAAUUUCAUUAAAGGAUGGUGUUCAAUGAGUUUGGCCAGAACUAGAGUGCAAAAAUUAGUUAUAAAUUACUUUUUUAUAGCAAUACUAACACUUCACUAAUAAGAGUCACUAAUAACUAACACUUUUUUAUAGCUCUAAUAAGAGUAAAUUAUUAUUAUGUUUUGGGAAGGGUUACCCUAUAGUUUGUAUUUGUAGUAGUAUUAAUAAAUAAAUAAAUAAAUAUAGAUACUAAUAAUAUCAAAUAACAUUUAUGGCCUCCUAUAGC
RNAcentral lists this long non-coding RNA (553 nucleotides) under Androctonus crassicauda. The record is from RNAcentral. Lineage: Eukaryota; Metazoa; Arthropoda; Arachnida; Scorpiones; Buthidae.